AAUAUUAGAAAAUGGGGGCAGGCCAGAUCCAGCCGUGCCGCGUGGGUGAAGGAGAGCAUCGGAUCGUAAAGGACGCUAAGUUGGGCGGGAGGGCUGGCGGCUAAUACCCUGAAGGUUCGACGUUACUAACGGAAUAAGCACCGGCUCACUCUGUGCCAGCAGCCGCGGUAAUACAGAGGGUGCAAGCUUUAAUCGGAAUUACUGGGCGUAAAGGGAGCGUAGGUGGUUGCGUAAGAUGGGUGUGAAAUCCCCGGGCUCAACCUGGGCACUGCUUUCAUGACUGCUGAGCUAGAGUACGGUAGAGGGUAGUGGAAUUUCCUGUGUAGCGGUGAAAUGCGUAGAUAUAGGAAGGAACACCAGUGGCGAAGGCGACUACCUGGACUGAAACUGACGCUGAGGUGCGAAAGCGUGGGGAGCAA
Molecule: ribosomal RNA, 419 nt
Filed under: uncultured bacterium
Lineage: Bacteria
Description: partial 16S ribosomal RNA
Rfam family: Bacterial small subunit ribosomal RNA
Source: RNAcentral